GUGCCAGCCGCCGCGGUAAUACGGAGGGUGCAAGCGUUGUCCGGAUUUAUUGGGUUUAAAGGGUGCGUAGGCGGCUUAUUAAGUCAGGGGUGAAAGACUAUUGCUUAACAAUGGCAGUGCCUUUGAUACUGAUAGGCUUGAGUACAGCUGAGGCAGAUGGAACGGGUGGUGUAGCGGUGAAAUGCAUAGAUACCAUCCAGAACACCGAUUGCGAAGGCAGUCUGCUAAACUGUAACUGACGCUGAGGCACGAAAGCGUGGGGAUCGAACAGGAUUAGAAACCCCCGUAGUCC
Molecule: ribosomal RNA, 292 nt
Filed under: uncultured bacterium
Lineage: Bacteria
Description: partial 16S ribosomal RNA
Rfam family: Bacterial small subunit ribosomal RNA
Source: RNAcentral